Molossus molossus (Pallas's mastiff bat) is the source of this 224-nucleotide long non-coding RNA. RefSeq lists it as uncharacterized. The record is from RefSeq and is a predicted model, not a curated record. The transcript is spliced from 3 exons. NCBI's taxonomy places the organism in Eukaryota, Metazoa, Chordata, Mammalia, Chiroptera, Molossidae.
AGGCACUUCAGCUGAUUUAAUCCACACAACAAUCUUUAUAGAACUCUGAUGCCAUCUGGGACUCAUGUUGCUUUCAUCUUCCAUCUAUUUUAAAAGGCAGUGGUGAAUUUCUGAAGACUGGAGAGAAAGCUGGUGGAUUCAGGAGGAGAGUAUUUGUGAAAUGCAGCAGAAGAAAUGGAAGUUCAGUGAAAAGCAAAUACAAAGAAAGAAUGAGAACUGAAAUG